This is a long non-coding RNA of Nicotiana tabacum (common tobacco), 539 nucleotides long. RefSeq lists it as uncharacterized. The record is from RefSeq and is a predicted model, not a curated record. Lineage: Eukaryota; Viridiplantae; Streptophyta; Magnoliopsida; Solanales; Solanaceae.
ACUUUCCCACUAAAAAUUAAAACCUCAAGAAAAGACUCAUCACUCGCUCUCACUAAUGCCACUACCCCCUUUUCUCUCAGACACGAGAGUGGAAUGUAUUCCGACGAUGACUCCGAUGUGGACUACCAUGACGACAUGUUGUCAUCGACGUUGGCUAUUGUUGCGGCUAUGGCAUGCUUCAACGUAUUCGAUGGAGCUCAUGUUAGAUUUGCAGUGGCUUUACCUUGAGCAAUUCGACCUCUUUCACCAAAAAUGAAGCAUGUGUCCGGGAAGUGGCUAGAAUCCAAAUACAUGUGUUAAAAGUACAGGAAAAUACGGGUGAUGCAAUUGAAAAUGGCGGCCAAAAGUUAAUUGAUCUAUUGAAGUGAAUGAUAAAGACUUUUUGAGCAAUUGUAAUAUUUAUUAUUAUGAUACUUUAUGAAUACAUUCGGUUUUAGAGUUUGUUGUUAUUGCACAUACUGAAAUAUUGUUUUAUCAGUAUGUGUAGAAUACAAAAUAUGUUUCUUUUUUGAAGUUUAUUGCAAGUAUAUGCAUUAAAA